AUUUAAUAUGGACUCCGAGCCUGGGAGCCUACGAUAUUUUUAUUAUGGUUCCCAGGCCGAUAGGGAUUGUCUGGAAACGGGCAUUCCUCCUGUGUGGAAAGGAGAAUUUUUUGACCGGAA
RNAcentral lists this non-coding RNA (120 nucleotides) under Desulforamulus ferrireducens. Its description in RNAcentral is "Desulfotomaculum ferrireducens MoCo sequence". It matches the Rfam family "Molybdenum/Tungsten riboswitch aptamer (Moco RNA motif)". Lineage: Bacteria; Bacillati; Bacillota; Clostridia; Eubacteriales; Peptococcaceae. The record is from Rfam by way of RNAcentral.